This 253-nucleotide ribosomal RNA is filed under the name uncultured bacterium. Its description in RNAcentral is "partial 16S ribosomal RNA". It matches the Rfam family "Bacterial small subunit ribosomal RNA", at positions 524 to 776 of the family's 1533-position model. The record is from RNAcentral.
UACGGAGGGGGCUAGCGUUAUUCGGAAUUACUGGGCGUAAAGCGUGCGCAGGCGGUUAUGUAAGACAGGUGUGAAAUCCCAGGGCUUAACCUUGGAACUGCAUUUGUGACUGCAUAGCUAGAGUACGGUAGAGGGGGAUGGAAUUCCGCGUGUAGCAGUGAAAUGCGUAGAUAUGCGGAGGAACACCGAUGGCGAAGGCAAUCCCCUGGACCUGUACUGACGCUCAUGCACGAAAGCGUGGGGAGCGAACGGG